UACAGAGGGUGCAAGCGUUAAUCGGAAUUACUGGGCGUAAAGGGCGCGUAGGCGGCCAACUAAGUCGGACGUGAAAUCCCCUGGCUCAACCAGGGAACUGCGUCCGAUACUGAUUGGCUUGAAUCCGGGAGAGGGAUGUGGAAUUCCAGGUGUAGCGGUGAAAUGCGUAGAUAUCUGGAGGAACACCGGUGGCGAAGGCGGCAUCCUGGACCGGUAUUGACGCUGAGGCGCGAAAGCCAGGGGAGCAAACGGG
This 253-nucleotide ribosomal RNA is filed under the name uncultured bacterium. RNAcentral describes it as "partial 16S ribosomal RNA". It matches the Rfam family "Bacterial small subunit ribosomal RNA", at positions 524 to 776 of the family's 1533-position model. The record is from RNAcentral.